GACCUGGAGAUGUACGGUGUGAACUACUU
This 29-nucleotide non-coding RNA is filed under the name Homo sapiens (human). The record is from RNAcentral. Lineage: Eukaryota; Metazoa; Chordata; Mammalia; Primates; Hominidae.